RNAcentral lists this long non-coding RNA (743 nucleotides) under Felis catus (domestic cat). Its description in RNAcentral is "lncRNA (ENSFCAG00000048088.1)". The record is from RNAcentral. Lineage: Eukaryota; Metazoa; Chordata; Mammalia; Carnivora; Felidae.
UGAUUUGAGAACAUCUAAAACCAUAUAGCCACAUAACUGGAGAUGUACAUUCAAAAGAAGUUUUUGUUAUUCAUAAAUCUUCCUGGUGAUUUCAAAAUGGCCGCUUGGUCAGGCUGAGGGAGCGGGACAGGAAUUCAUGAGGCAGCACCCCAUGCUGCAUGAAGAAAGCGGAGCCAAGGUUGUAAGACAAACAGCAAAGCCAGUAAGAAGGUGUCGAAGAAUAAUGAUCCUAGCAUGGGUCCAAAAACAAGCCGUGUAAAUAAGAAAGAGUGUACAAGCAUAUCAGGGCUGAACAAUGCAAAGCAGUGAUGUGUGGUUCUCCAAUGCCAGGCUACACCUGAAAGCAGAAAUAACGAACCAAAGGAAAAGUGAUAAAGGAGAGAAGGAAAUUAACUCGUCGCAUCGUAAUACAAAGUGGUUUUGACUCAUUGUUUAAAUAUGAAAUGGCCUUACCAUUCCGGAUGAUCUCUGAAGUGCUUUCCAGAUUUUUAAGCCUGCGGUACUCUGGAAUGAACAUAGCUCAGUUGAAAAAUCGACAGUUCAGCUGAUCCACAAAAGAGGGUUUUUUGACAUCUCGGACAAUGCUUGUCCCGUGAUCACAAGUUGAAAAGUCAGUAGAACGAUGAUUCCGUUUCGGAGUCUCUCCGGAUGCCUCUAUUGGAUCAGAACACCGUCACGCAGACACUUGCUUGAGUCCCACGUAGCACUCCUGAUGCAUCAAUUGAUAUCUUUCUGUUUUCAGC